AUACUGCGGUGAAUACGUUCCCGGGCCUUGUACACACCGCCCGUCACACCACGAAAGCUGACAACACCCGAAGCCGGUGA
Molecule: ribosomal RNA, 80 nt
Filed under: Desulforamulus aeronauticus DSM 10349
Lineage: Bacteria; Bacillati; Bacillota; Clostridia; Eubacteriales; Peptococcaceae
Description: Desulfotomaculum aeronauticum DSM 10349 16S rRNA. Bacterial SSU
Rfam family: Bacterial small subunit ribosomal RNA
Source: RNAcentral